RNAcentral lists this ribosomal RNA (468 nucleotides) under uncultured bacterium. RNAcentral describes it as "partial 16S ribosomal RNA". It matches the Rfam family "Bacterial small subunit ribosomal RNA", at positions 28 to 507 of the family's 1533-position model. The record is from RNAcentral.
GACGAACGCUGGCGGCGUGCUUAACACAUGCAAGUCGAACGGAAAGGCCCUGCUUUUGUGGGGUGCUCGAGUGGCGAACGGGUGAGUAACACGUGAGUAACCUGCCCUGGACUUUGGGAUAACUGCAGGAAACUGGGGCUAAUACCGGAUAGGAGCUCCUGCUGCAUGGUGGGGGUUGGAAAGUUUCGGCGGUUGGGGAUGGACUCGCGGCUUAUCAGCUUGUUGGUGGGGUAGUGGCCUACCAAGGCUUUGACGGGUAGCCGGCCUGAGAGGGUGACCGGCCACAUUGGGACUGAGAUACGGCCCAGACUCCUACGGGAGGCAGCAGUGGGGAAUAUUGCACAAUGGGCGGAAGCCUGAUGCAGCACCGCCGCGUGCGGGAUGACGGCCUUCGGGUUGUAAACCGCUUUCGCCUGUGACGAAGCGUGAGUGACGGUAAUGGGUAAAGAAGCACCGGCUAACUACGUG